GACUCAGUUAAGAGUGCCAAGAACCGCUGAGAAGAAACUCAUCAGGAAAUGUAUGAACCUCAUCUCUUCUGAUAACCAGGAAGGUAGAAAAGCUUGAAGAAUAAAUCUGACCUGAGCAACCAGCUGACAACAUAAUAAAAAUAUGGGAAGUGUAGAAGGUCCUGAAAUUCAGCCCAAAAGGUCCCCCUAUUUACCAGCUCCGGAGGAACUUUAAAAAAAAAAAGUACCUUGGAGGAGGAUUGAUGACAUCUAAACUGUAACACUAGGAAGCAAUCCUGAAAUCUAAAAAAAAAUUGUAAACCAAGUUUCAACCAAAAGGGGAAGGCUUCAGUGGAAGACUUACACUAAACUUUCCACCUGGAUUUUUUUUUUUGCAGCUCCAGUGUAGUUCCUAUUAAAAAAAGGACUGUGGUGUUAAGCUUGUUCUUAAAGUCCUAAGUAAGAAAAAGCUUUUAUUGUCUGUAAUAAUUGCUCUCUUCAUCCUGUCGCAACCACCUACGCAAUAUCUCCAAAAUUCGCCUGUUUCUGAGUGCUGAAACUACUAAACAGCUAAUCCACUCCCUAGUAAUUUACUGAUUUGACUACUGUAAUAACUACUAACUGGUCUUCCUCUCUCCCGCCUCUCCCCCCCCUUCAAUCCAUCCUAAAUGCCUCUUCUAGACUAAUCCACCUCUCCCGAUGCUCUGUAUCUGCUGCACCUCUCUGCAAGUCCCUUCACUGGCUCCCAAUUCACAGCAGAAUUAAAUUUAAAAUUCUCACCCUGACCUACAAAGCCCUUACCAAUGCAGCCCCCCCUACCAGGCCAAUAAUUUCAAGUGUAGACUCAGUGUUUACAAAUGUAUCGAUCUUCAUAGACAAAUUGCUGCAGGCAGAAGUUGUUAAAUGUAGUUCAUACAUCAAAGAUACAGGAGACUUCCUUAAAGGGACAGUCUACACCAGCAUUUUCAUUGUUUGAAAAGAUAGAUAAUCCCUUUAUUACCCAUUCCCUAGUUUUGCAUUACCAACACAGUUAUAUAAAUACACUUUUUACCUCUGUGAUUUCCUUGUAUGUAAGCCUCUGCAAACUGCCCUCUUAUUUCAGUUUUAUUGACAGACAUCCAUUUUAGCCAAUCAGAGCUUGCUCACUGGAACUCCACGUGCGUGAGCACAGUGUUAUGUAUAUGAUAAACGUGAACUAACACCCUCUAGUGGUGAAAAACUGUCAAAAUACCCUGAGAGAAGAGGCGGCCUUCAAGGUCUUAGAAAUUAGCAUAUGAACCUCCUAGGUUUAGCUUUCAACUAAGAAUACCAAGAGAACAAAGCAAAAUUGGUGAUAAAAGUAAAUUGGAAAAUUGUUUAAAAUUACAUUCUCUAUCUGAAUCAUGAAAGUUUAUUUUGGACUAGACUGUCCCUUUAAAAAAGCUAAAGAUUUGUUUCUACCAAAUUAAAAAUGUAUAAUGUAUACUUUGGAUGUCAAAAGCCUGUAUACAUGUAUAAAACAUGAAACAGGUAUAGGUAUCAUCAAUAGAGUUCUCAGAGAGGAUAAAAAAAAUUCAGAGCAGCAAUGUAUGUUUAUAGAGGAAUUGUUGAGACUUAUUUUAUAUUGGAAUUAUUUUCUUUUUCAAGAUGAUUGGUUUAUGAUUGGUUUAUACAAAUCAAAGGAACAGCUAUGGGGUUCAAUGUUGCCCCAUCAUACACCAACCUAUUUAUGAAUAUGGUAGAAGAAGAAAAAAACAAUAUAUGAGAAUCACCUGUUCAAACUACAUGGUGGCGCCUGGUGGCGCUUCAUAGAUGAUGUGUUUGGUGUAUGGUGAGGCACCAUGGACUCCUUAGAGAAGUUUGUAUCAGAAUUAAAUGUGGCAGUCAGAGGCCUGGAAAUUACAUUAAAUUACAGUGAGGAGUCAAUAAUGUUCCUGGAUACAAGGCUAUACAAAAAGGUGCUCAAUUGGAAUUUGACCUGUACACAAAAGAAACAGACAGAAAUACAUUGCUACAAUACAAUAGCUUCCAUCCAUGUAAUCUAGUAGAAUCACUCCCUAAAAGCCAACUCCUCAGAGUUAAUAGGAUAGUAACAGAACAACACAAUCUAACAAUUAGAUCACAAGAGAUGCAAAAGAAAUUCUUGGAUAGAGGGUAUCCAAAGGCAGUGUUAGAUAAAUGUAAUCAAAAACCUAGAAAGAAAUGCUUCAAAAAUAGAUAAAAAGAAAAGAAUGGUAUUUUCUUCACAAUAUAGUACAUAUGGCAGUCAAAUAGCCAAAAUAAUUAAACAUUGGCACAUCCUUAAACAAUGUACUAGCCAAGUAAAAGAAUUUCAAGAACGUCCAAUUAUUGCAUAUAAAUGGUAAAAAAUGUAAGGGAUCACUUCAUCAGAUCUGCUAUAGGUCAAAUUAAGCAAAAAGAACAAACAUUCUUAGGCAAGAAAAAUCGAGGUUGCUAUCCCUGCUUAGGGUGUAUGAGUUGUAGCUCUAUCAUUAAAGGGAAAUAAUUUCUACAUCCCAGGAGUGGACACAAAUGUGAAAUUAAAGAUUUAUUCACAUGCAAGACCACAUAUGCAGUCUAUUUAAUAAAAUGUCCAUGUUCCCUCAUCUAUAUUGGAGAGACUGUGAGAAAAGUCAGAGAUAGAAUGAGUCAAUACCGCUCCAAUAUUAGAUGUGGGGAUAAGGAUGCUCCAGUGGCACAGCACUUCUUAGAAAAGGGACACAACAUUAGCCAGUGAGGUGGCAAGUAAUUAAUUACGUGGGCCCUCAAAGGAAGGGAGGUGAUCGUGAAAAAUUACUAAAACAAAAAGAAAUGUAUUGGAUCCACAAAUUGGGGACGAUGGUCCCAAAUGGAUUAAAUAAGGAGUUUGACUUGUCAGUAUUUUGGUAACAGGUGCAUAGCCAAUAGAAAUCCAUAUUAAGAUAAGGUGAUAAAUAUACCCAGUCAGUUUAGUGGUAUUGCAUUUAGCUAAUGAUGUAGAACAUUUCGAAUAGAUGUAUGGUGUAAUCAAAUUGUUAAGUAUAAGGAAAAAGACAAAAAUUAAUUUUAAUUAUAUAGUACCAAAAUGAAACAGUAGAUGGCGCCAGAUGUGAAUAAUGAAUGGCGCAAAACAAAGUGUUUAAAAGGCAAUACAGUGUAUUAUAUGCAUAGCAUGAAUAAGGGAUAUUGAUGCCGAAUAUAUAUUUUUGUCAUGAAAUAAAGUAAUUAAGUUUAA
This is a long non-coding RNA of Bombina bombina (fire-bellied toad), 3172 nucleotides long. RefSeq lists it as uncharacterized. The record is from RefSeq and is a predicted model, not a curated record. Lineage: Eukaryota; Metazoa; Chordata; Amphibia; Anura; Bombinatoridae. The transcript is spliced from 2 exons.